Oncorhynchus mykiss (rainbow trout) is the source of this 2247-nucleotide non-coding RNA. Lineage: Eukaryota; Metazoa; Chordata; Actinopteri; Salmoniformes; Salmonidae. The record is from RefSeq and is a predicted model, not a curated record.
CAAUGUUUAGCUGCCUUGGCUAGUAAACAAUAUUUCGCCCAAAGACAGGGUUUUACUGUUUUCUAAACUACUAAGUUCGACUUGUCACAACCAUUAAACAAGGAAAACUUUUGAAGGGGUCUGAACAGUGUUUUCAUGGACUUUCCUGAGUAUUAAAGGUCAGAGUACUUCAAAAUGAGAAGAUCCUGCCAUGGAAAAGACGACUGGGUGGACAAAGUGGAAAGGAGGGGAAAACUCACCAUGCAGCAGGACACCUUCAGCUGCGGGGUCUUUAAUGCAGAUGGCCAAGGAAGUUGCACAGAACUUCCCCUCCCAAAUUGAUAUAGAACCUUCACAAAAGCACAUGGAGCAACUGCAAAACUAAAUGGCUGAGGAUAUACUAAAAAUGUCUGAACCUGGAUGUGGCCCAAAGACUGACUGGCUUAGUAACUUUAUUUAACACAUUUAUAAUCUUUUGACAACAGUGACGGCAUGUAAGACAAUUUUUGAUAACACAAUGGAUGGCUAAUUCGUCAUACGUUAUAAAUAAUAUCAAUGCAGUGUUACGCUUUGUUUUAGAUUUGAUGUUUUGCAUGCCAACAGUGGUUCAAUGUGCUGUCCCUAGGACUGAAGACAAGAGUUCAGAGUGAAGAACACAAACUGGAAGUGCUCUCUUUGUUGUUGAAAAUGUAUGCUAUACCCCAUCCACACUGAAGAGGCUCUGAAAUGUACAUCAACCAGGGAUAAAGAGAAAGUCAACACUGAAAUGUUUCAUACUCAUUUGAAUGAAAGUGUCUGACAUGUUGGAAAUUAUUAAAGGUCUACAAUUUCUGCUUAAUCUGUCAAUAUUACAUUUUUAUUCAUUGAUUUACUGGCCACUAUUACUGUGGUUACAUGUUCAGUAUAUGUAUUGACCAGCAAACCCACUGCAGCCUACCUCAAGCUCACUCUCCAUCCCUGCUUUGGACAAUUAAUAACAUGACUCUUGUACUUUGCCCUAUUCCUACUUUAUCUGGUGACAACUGCAUGCAUGGCCAUCCUUGUAGAGUUUCCGAGCCUUGUUUUAUAUCUUAUGACACAAUAUUGUAUACUUGUAUAGAGCAGACAAAGCCAGUAAUCUGUAAAAGUUUCACCAUGUUACAGGUGGUCCAAAAGCUGUCGAGACCCCUUCACAGAGAAACUGCCCAACAACAGAAAGCCUGUGUUGUGAGGCCAUUGCACUGAUGAACCAUACAGCUGAUGAAGCAAUUGUAAAGGAGAAGAUGAAGCAGAUGUUCGCCUAUCGCCAAAAGAUGGUUCAUGACCCAGUGAAGUCCUGAAAUAUUCACAGCAUUCCAAAGACAUAGCAGGAAUGAUUGAGCAAGAUUUUAGUGAUGCAACCUCUGCAAAGUUCCUCGAGAAGUGGCCUACUCUCUCCAAGCAGGAAGUCAUUGACCAAAGCCGUGGCCUCACACAGACAGGCAUCCUGCAAGACCUGGUUCAAGAUGCUGAAUCCACAACAGAAGUGGAAAAUGGAUGGGACAGUGACAUGUCCUCUAUUUUGGUCCUUGUCCACCUUAUGCCACCGUCACCUCAUGGCCACAAGAGACCAGGAAAAUUCUCAGCCAGACACACCAGUAACCACAUUGUGAAGUUUAUCAAGACUGGGACCAGCAUCUGGAGAGCGCCAUGGAAAGCCUUCAACCCUAUCUGCUUGCUGUGGGGACCCAGAGGAGUGUGAUUCACAAGUACUUCAUUGUGAUUGACAAACAUGCAAUACAUUGUAAGUCACCAGACUCUCUUGCCUGUUUUGAUGAGCUUUUCAAAGCUCACUUUGUCUUUGGUACCUCACAUCUCCCUCACCAGCUGUCAGAGCAGCUUACAGAUCACUGCACCUGUACAUAGAUAGCCCAUCUGUAAACAGCCCAUCUAUCUACCUACCUCAUCCCCAUACUGGUAUUUAUUUAUUUUGCUCCUUUGCACCCCAGUAUCUCUACCUGCACUUUCAUCUUCUGCCAAUCUAUCAUUCCAGUGUUUAAUUGCUAUAUUGUAAUUAAUUCGCCACCAUGGCCUAUUUAUUUCCUUAACUUACCUCACCUCAUUUGCACUCACUGUAUAUAGACUUUGUUUUCUUUUGUUCUACUGUAUUAUUGACUGUAUGUUUUGUUUAUUCCAAGUGUAACUGUUGUUGUAUGUAUCAAAUUGCUACGCUUUAACUUGGCCAGGUCGCAGUUGCCAAUGAGAACUUGUUCUCAACUAGCCUACCUGGUUAAAUAAAGGUGAAAUAAA